This 231-nucleotide ribosomal RNA is filed under the name uncultured bacterium. RNAcentral describes it as "partial 16S ribosomal RNA". It matches the Rfam family "Bacterial small subunit ribosomal RNA", at positions 57 to 305 of the family's 1533-position model. The record is from RNAcentral.
GCAAGUCGAACGCGAACGGCACUUCGGUGCUUAUUAGAGUGGCGGACGGGGUAGUAACGCGUGGGAACGUGCCUUGAGGUAUGGGAUAACGUCGGGAAACCGGCGCUAAUACCGUAUGAUCCCUUAGGGGCAAAGAUUUAUCGCCUUGAGAUGGGCCCGCGUUAGAUUAGCUAGUUGGUGGGGUAAAGGCUUACCAAGGCGACGAUCUAUAGCUGGUUUGAGAGGAUGAUC